GAAAAAAUAAAAAUAAAAACUGUGACAUCUUGUCCACAACAGACUCAGAACUGUAGAUAACAGUAAAAGAAAACUCUCUGAACUACAGAACUUCCUGCCCAACAAACAGAUGAAAGUACUUUAAUGCAAAAAAUACAAGUCAGUCCAAGAACAACAACAAACAACAUUGUGAAGAGGAAACAAGUACGAAAGUACCUACUAUAUAUAUAACAAAACAUUUUUGGACACAAGAUGAGCAGAAAAUUCCUACUAAAUUCCAAACAAACUCCAAGCCAGUAGUCAUGUUAAUCCCAGCAUCUACAUAGACAUUAAACUACUGUACAAAACACUGCAGACGUAUUUGGAACCAUCAAUCAAACCCAUUCCAAGAAAUGUAAUUUCUACUUCCACCACACUGCAAACAGAAGGCGAUGGAGAGAUUUCUCUCUUUUAUGAAGAAUAUUCUUUAUUUAUCUGAUAUGGUGGAAUUGAGAAGGCCUAUUUAUUGUCUGUCUCCCUCAUCUUCCUGACAGGAUAUUAAAGAUCUAUGUCCUUCUGCCCACCUUGUGAUUAGAUGGAACAUCUGCGGAGGGUAUGAGCCGCCUGAGGGAGAUGAUAGAGAUAUUACCGGGAUUUCUAAUAUUAAGUGAUUUCUUGAUAACUCUGAACUUUCUUUAAUGUCUUCAGUGAUAACAUACAUUCAGUCUCUCAUGGUCACAGAAGAGAGCGAAAAGUAAGUUGCUUGCUUUCAAGUUUGUUUAAUCUCGUUCCUGAAAAUUUACUGAUACCACUUCUAUAAAAGAAAUAAGAGGAA
Long non-coding RNA from Hyla sarda, 793 nucleotides. RefSeq lists it as uncharacterized. The record is from RefSeq and is a predicted model, not a curated record. The transcript is spliced from 3 exons. NCBI's taxonomy places the organism in Eukaryota, Metazoa, Chordata, Amphibia, Anura, Hylidae.